This 468-nucleotide ribosomal RNA is filed under the name uncultured bacterium. Its description in RNAcentral is "partial 16S ribosomal RNA". It matches the Rfam family "Bacterial small subunit ribosomal RNA", at positions 28 to 507 of the family's 1533-position model. The record is from RNAcentral.
GACGAACGCUGGCGGCGUGCUUAACACAUGCAAGUCGAACGGAAAGGCCCUGCUUUUGUGGGGUGCUCGAGUGGCGAACGGGUGAGUAACACGUGAGUAACCUGCCCUUGACUUUGGGAUAACUUCAGGAAACUGGGGCUAAUACCGGAUAGGAGCUCCUGCUGCAUGGUGGGGGUUGGAAAGUUUCGGCGGGUGGGGAUGGACGCGCGGCUUAUGAGCUUGUUGGUGGGGGAGUGGCUUACCAAGGCUUUGACGGGUAGCCGGCCUGAGAGGGUGAACGGCCACAUUGGGACUGAGAUACGGCCCAGACUCCUACGGGAGGCAGCAGUGGGGAAUAUGGCACAAUGGGCGGAAGCCUGAGGCAGCAACGCCGCGUGCGGGAUGACGGCCUGCGGGUUGUAAACCGCUUUCGCCUGUGACGAAGCGUGAGUGACGGUAAUGGGUAAAGAAGCACCGGCUAACUACGUG